Molecule: ribosomal RNA, 301 nt
Filed under: uncultured bacterium
Lineage: Bacteria
Description: partial 16S ribosomal RNA
Rfam family: Bacterial small subunit ribosomal RNA
Source: RNAcentral
CAGCAGCCACGGUAAUACGAAGGGGGCUAGCGUUGUUCGGAAUAACUGGGCGUAAAGGGCGCGUAGGCGGAUCUUUAAGUCAGGGGUGAAAUCCCAAGGCUCAACCUUGGAACUGCCUUUGAUACUGGAGAUCUUGAGUCCGGGAGAGGUGAGUGGAACUGCGAGUGUAGAGGUGAAAUUCGUAGAUAUUCGCAAGAACACCAGUGGCGAAGGCGGCUCACUGGCCCGGUACUGACGCUGAGGCGCGAAAGCGUGGGGAGCAAACAGGAUUAGAUACCCGCGUAGUCCCUGUCUCUUAUAC